RNAcentral lists this ribosomal RNA (253 nucleotides) under uncultured bacterium. Its description in RNAcentral is "partial 16S ribosomal RNA". It matches the Rfam family "Bacterial small subunit ribosomal RNA", at positions 524 to 776 of the family's 1533-position model. The record is from RNAcentral.
UACGUAGGCAGCAAGCGUUGUUCGGAAUUACUGGGCGUAAAGGGUGCGUAGGCGGUGCUCUAAGUUUGGUGUGAAAUCUCCCGGCUUAACUGGGAGGGUGCGCCGAAAACUGGAGCGCUGGAGUGCGGGAGAGGAAAGCGGAAUUCCUGGUGUAGCGGUGAAAUGCGUAGAGAUCAGGAGGAACACCUGCGGUGUAGACGGCUUUCUGGACCGUAACUGACGCUGAGGCACGAAAGAGUGGGUAGCAAACAGG